UACGUAGGGUGCGAGCGUUGUCCGGAAUUACUGGGCGUAAAGAGCUCGUAGGUGGUUUGUCGCGUUGUUCGUGAAAACUCACAGCUUAACUGUGGGCGUGCGGGCGAUACGGGCAGACUGGAGUACUGCAGGGGAGACUGGAAUUCCUGGUGUAGCGGUGGAAUGCGCAGAUAUCAGGAGGAACACCAAUGGCGAAGGCAGAUCUCUGGGCCGUAACUGACGCUGGAGGAGCGAAAGCUGGGGAGCGAACAGG
RNAcentral lists this ribosomal RNA (253 nucleotides) under uncultured bacterium. RNAcentral's name for it is "partial 16S ribosomal RNA". It matches the Rfam family "Bacterial small subunit ribosomal RNA", at positions 524 to 776 of the family's 1533-position model. The record is from RNAcentral.